RNAcentral lists this ribosomal RNA (463 nucleotides) under uncultured bacterium. Its description in RNAcentral is "partial 16S ribosomal RNA". The stretch from base 48 to 463 matches the Rfam family "Bacterial small subunit ribosomal RNA", at positions 34 to 507 of the family's 1533-position model. The record is from RNAcentral.
GGGGGGGGGGGGGGGGGGGGGCGGGCGGGGGGGGCGGGGGGGGCCGGCGUUGGUGGGGGGCGCGGGUGGCGAACGGGGGAGGAACACGUGAGUAACCUGCCCUUGACUUUGGGCUAACUUCCGGCAACUGGGGCUAAUACCGGAUCGGAGCUCCUGCUGCAUGGUGGGGGUUGGAAAGGUUCGGCGGUUGGGGAUGGCCUCGCGGCUUAUCAGCUGGUUGGUGGGGUAGUGGCUUCCAAAGGCUUUGACGGGUAGCCGGCCUGUGAGGGUGACCGGCCACAUUGGGACUGAGAUACGGCCCAGACUCCUACGGGAGGCAGCAGUGGGGAAUAUUGCACAAUGGGCGGAAGCCUGAUGCAGCAACGCCGCGUGCGGGAUGACGGCCUUCGGGUUGUAAACCGCUUUCGCCUGUGACGAAGCGUGAGUGACGGUAAUGGGUAAAGAAGCACCGGCUAACUACGUG